AGCGAACCGGGAAGAGCUCAAAUUYGAAAUCUGGCGUCCCAAGGGCGUCMGAGUYGUAAUCUACAGAGGCGUUUUCCGCGCCGGUCCGCGUCCAAGUCCCUUGGAACAGGGUAUCGAAGAGGGUGACAAUCCCGUGCUUGACGUGACCGCCGGUGCUAUGUGAUGCGUSUUCUARGAGUCGAGUUGUUUGGGAAUGCAGCUCAAAACGGGUGGUAAAUUCCAUSUAAGKCUAAAUAUUGGCGAGAGACCGAUAGCGAACAAGUACCGUGAGGGAAAGAUGAAAAGCACUUUGGAAAGAGAGUUAAACAGUMCGUGAAAUUGUUGAAAGGGAAACGAUUGAAGUCAGUYGWGUCCGAGAGGCUCAACCGGUCCUGCCGGCUCACUCCCCUCGGACGGGUCAACAUCGGUUUUGGUCGACGGAAAAGGGAACGGGGAAAGUGGCACSUCSUGGWGUGUUAUAGCCCCGCGUCGCAUWCGUCGACCGAGACCGAGGAAUGCAGCUUGCCCUCACGGGCCGGGGUCGCCCACGUACGAGCUUAUG
RNAcentral lists this ribosomal RNA (541 nucleotides) under Tremella samoensis. RNAcentral describes it as "partial large subunit ribosomal RNA". It matches the Rfam family "Eukaryotic large subunit ribosomal RNA", at positions 92 to 611 of the family's 3401-position model. The record is from RNAcentral. Lineage: Eukaryota; Fungi; Basidiomycota; Tremellomycetes; Tremellales; Tremellaceae.